GAUGAAGAACGUAGCGAAAUGCGAUAAGUAAUGCGAAUUGCAGAAUCCGUGAGUCAUCGAAUCUUUGAACGCACAUUGCGCCCUUUGGUAUUCCGAAGGGCAUGUCUGUUCGAGCGUCAUUAUCACCCCUCAAGCCCCGGCUUGGUGUUGGGCUCUCGGUGGUCGUCUCCGACCACCCGUCUCAAAGAUAGUGACGGCGUCCCAGAGGGAACCGGUACGAGGAGCUUUCACGAGCAUGUACGCGGGACGACUCUGCGGGCGACGGUCUUAUUUACUUUAUAUACAAGUGUUGACCUCGGAUCAGGUAGGAAUACCCGCUGAACUUAAGCAUAUCAAUAAGCGGAGGA
This 347-nucleotide unclassified non-coding RNA is filed under the name soil metagenome. RNAcentral's name for it is "partial contains 5.8S ribosomal RNA, internal transcribed spacer 2, and large subunit ribosomal RNA". The stretch from base 1 to 119 matches the Rfam family "5.8S ribosomal RNA", at positions 35 to 154 of the family's 154-position model. The record is from RNAcentral.